This 350-nucleotide ribosomal RNA is filed under the name Epiperipatus biolleyi. RNAcentral describes it as "bacterial SSU rRNA". It matches the Rfam family "Eukaryotic small subunit ribosomal RNA", at positions 1473 to 1804 of the family's 1831-position model. Lineage: Eukaryota; Metazoa; Onychophora; Udeonychophora; Euonychophora; Peripatidae. The record is from RNAcentral.
UUAGAUGUCCGGGGCCGCACGCGCGCUACACUGAAGGGGUCAACGCGCCAUUACGUUUCCCGGGCCGAAAGGCUCGGGGAACCGGUGGAACCCCGACGUAGCGAUUCGUGCUAGGGACAGGGACUUGCAAUUGUGUCCCUCGAACGAGGAAUUCCCAGUAGGCGCGAGUCAUCAGCUCGCGCCGAUUACGUCCCUGCCCUUUGUACACACCGCCCGUCGCUACUACCGAUCGAACGAUUUAGCGAGGUCUUCGGACCGGCGGCCGAAGGUGCGCAAGCGCCGGCGGCUUUCGCCGGGAAGAUGCCCGAACUUGAUCGUUUAGAGGAAGUAAAAGUCGUAACAAGGUUUCC